This 547-nucleotide ribosomal RNA is filed under the name bacterium SpH1BS+4print. RNAcentral describes it as "bacterial SSU rRNA". It matches the Rfam family "Bacterial small subunit ribosomal RNA", at positions 49 to 578 of the family's 1533-position model. The record is from RNAcentral.
CUAUACAUGCAGUCGAGCGAAUGAUGAAGAAGCUUGCUUCUUCUGAUUUAGCGGCGGACGGGUGAGUAACACGUGGGCAACCUGCCCUGUAGAUUGGGAUAACUCCGGGAAACCGGGGCUAAUACCGAAUAAUCCAUUUCUUCACAUGAGGGAAUGUUAAAAGACGGUUUCGGCUGUCACUACAGGAUGGGCCCGCGGCGCAUUAGCUAGUUGGUGGGGUAAUGGCUCACCAAGGCGACGAUGCGUAGCCGACCUGAGAGGGUGAUCGGCCACACUGGGACUGAGACACGGCCCAAACUCCUACGGGAGGCAGCAGUAGGGAAUCUUCCACAAUGGACGAAAGUCUGAUGGAGCAACGCCGCGUGAGUGAAGAAGGUUUUCGGAUCGUAAAACUCUGUUGUGAGGGAAGAACAAGUACGAGAGUAACUGCUCGUACCUUGACGGUACCUCAUUAGAAAGCCACGGCUAACUACGUGCCAGCAGCCGCGGUAAUACGUAGGUGGCAAGCGUUGUCCGGAAUUAUUGGGCGUAAAGCGCGCGCAGGCGG